CAGCCCUACGGGGCGCAGCAGUGGGGGAUAUUGCACAAUGGGGGGAACCCUGACGCAGCGACGCCGCGUGGGUGAAGGAGCGUUUCGGCGCGUAAAGCCCUAUCGGCAGGGAAGAAGAUGACGGUACCUGACCAAGAAGCCCCGGCUAACUACGUGCCAGCAGCCGCGGUAAUACGUAGGGGGCAAGCGUUAUCCGGAUUUACUGGGUGUAAAGGGGGCGCAGACGGCAAUGCAAGCCCGGAGUGAAAGCCCCGGGCCCAACCCCGGGACUGCUCUUUGAACUGCCUGGCUG
This 292-nucleotide ribosomal RNA is filed under the name uncultured bacterium. RNAcentral's name for it is "partial 16S ribosomal RNA". It matches the Rfam family "Bacterial small subunit ribosomal RNA", at positions 334 to 643 of the family's 1533-position model. The record is from RNAcentral.